RNAcentral lists this ribosomal RNA (1372 nucleotides) under uncultured bacterium. Its description in RNAcentral is "bacterial SSU rRNA". It matches the Rfam family "Bacterial small subunit ribosomal RNA", at positions 28 to 1381 of the family's 1533-position model. The record is from RNAcentral.
GAUGAACGCUGGCGGCGUGCCUAAUACAUGCAAGUCGAGCGAACGGACGAGAAGCUUGCUUUUCUGAUGUUAGCGGCGGACGGGUGAGUAACACGUGGAUAACCUACCUAUAAGACUGGGAUAACUUCGGGAAACCGGAGCUAAUACCGGAUAAUAUUUUGAACCGCAUGGUUCAAAAGUGAAAGACGGUCUUGCUGUCACUUAUAGAUGGAUCCGCGCUGCAUUAGCUAGUUGGUAAGGUAACGGCUUACCAAGGCAACGAUGCAUAGCCGACCUGAGAGGGUGAUCGGCCACACUGGAACUGAGACACGGUCCAGACUCCUACGGGAGGCAGCAGUAGGGAAUCUUCCGCAAUGGGCGAAAGCCUGACGGAGCAACGCCGCGUGAGUGAUGAAGGUCUUCGGAUCGUAAAACUCUGUUAUUAGGGAAGAACAUAUGUGUAAGUAACUGUGCACAUCUUGACGGUACCUAAUCAGAAAGCCACGGCUAACUACGUGCCAGCAGCCGCGGUAAUACGUAGGUGGCAAGCGUUAUCCGGAAUUAUUGGGCGUAAAGCGCGCGUAGGCGGUUUUUUAAGUCUGAUGUGAAAGCCCACGGCUCAACCGUGGAGGGUCAUUGGAAACUGGAAAACUUGAGUGCGGAAGAGGAAAGUGGAAUUCCAUGUGUAGCGGUGAAAUGCGCAGAGAUAUGGAGGAACACCAGUGGCGAAGGCGACUUUCUGGUCUGUAACUGACGCUGAUGUGCGAAAGCGUGGGGAUCAAACAGGAUUAGAUACCCUGGUAGUCCACGCCGUAAACGAUGAGUGCUAAGUGUUAGGGGGUUUCCGCCCCUUAGUGCUGCAGCUAACGCAUUAAGCACUCCGCCUGGGGAGUACGACCGCAAGGUUGAAACUCAAAGGAAUUGACGGGGACCCGCACAAGCGGUGGAGCAUGUGGUUUAAUUCGAAGCAACGCGAAGAACCUUACCAAAUCUUGACAUCCUUUGACAACUCUAGAGAUAGAGCCUUCCCCUUCGGGGGACAAAGUGACAGGUGGUGCAUGGUUGUCGUCAGCUCGUGUCGUGAGAUGUUGGGUUAAGUCCCGCAACGAGCGCAACCCUUAAGCUUAGUUGCCAUCAUUAAGUUGGGCACUCUAAGUUGACUGCCGGUGACAAACCGGAGGAAGGUGGGGAUGACGUCAAAUCAUCAUGCCCCUUAUGAUUUGGGCUACACACGUGCUACAAUGGACAAUACAAAGGGCAGCGAAACCGCGAGGUCAAGCAAAUCCCAUAAAGUUGUUCUCAGUUCGGAUUGUAGUCUGCAACUCGACUACAUGAAGCUGGAAUCGCUAGUAAUCGUAGAUCAGCAUGCUACGGUGAAUACGUUCCCGGGUCU